AUUGGAGGAUUAAGAGGAUGAGGAGGACAGUGCACAGGCAGCAAGUGGGGAAUCCGUUUUCCCCCCUAGCUAGGAACUAUUCUUAAUGCUGGACCCAAUAGCCUCUUCCCGCUCCCAAGGCAUGCUCCCGGACCAUAACCCUGGAGAAGGCG
This is a long non-coding RNA of Dermochelys coriacea (leatherback sea turtle), 152 nucleotides long. RefSeq lists it as uncharacterized. Lineage: Eukaryota; Metazoa; Chordata; Testudines; Dermochelyidae. The transcript has 3 exons. The record is from RefSeq and is a predicted model, not a curated record.